Molecule: non-coding RNA, 135 nt
Organism: Triticum urartu
Lineage: Eukaryota; Viridiplantae; Streptophyta; Magnoliopsida; Poales; Poaceae
Source: Rfam
UAACCGGUCCCUUCGUCUAAAAAUAAUUGUCAUCAAAAUGAAUAAAAAAAGAUAUAUUUAGAUCUAAAAUACGUCUAAAUACAUCCUCUUUUACUCAUUUUAAUGAUAAGUAUUUCUGAAUAGAGGGAGUACAAC